This is a non-coding RNA of Plutella xylostella (diamondback moth), 1035 nucleotides long. Lineage: Eukaryota; Metazoa; Arthropoda; Insecta; Lepidoptera; Plutellidae. The record is from RefSeq and is a predicted model, not a curated record.
AUGUAUGGUAACCUCAGGAGCUCACAAAGGGUCUCAUUAGAGUCUAAGGUGCUUUGUGUGCUGUUGUUUUAUGCCAAUUGAGACUACCAAAGGGUGAUUGGCGUACGUAGCCAAUCAUCUAUCUCAAGAGGCAACAAGCCGCUACAUUGAAGAAGUUACUGAGGCAUUGAACCAUCCGGAUGUGGUCCGAAAAUUUAUUAAAUUCCCAAGCACUCCAGAAGCCAGGGAACAAAUAAAACAAGGUUUCUACAAUUUAUACAAAAUUCCCGGUGUGGUUGGGUGCAUAGAUGGCUGCCACUUUAGGAUUUUCAAACCCCAAAGAGAAAGUGAGCACCUGUAUUAUUGUAGGAAGCACUAUCAUUCCCUGAAUGUACAAAUGGUGUGUGAUCAUGAAUGCCGGAUCCUCAGCAUCAACCCCAAGUUUGGAGGCGCAAGUCAUGAUGCUUUUGUGUGGGAAAACAGCCAGAUCAACACGCUAAUGCAAACAUUGCACCGGAAUGGUGAAUCAAGUUGGCUUCUUGGUGACUCUGGAUACCCACAAAGGCCAUGGCUUAUGACUCCUUACAACAACCCUGCACCUGGUUCUGCAGCAGAAUCAUACAAUGCUGCCCACAGCAGAGCUCGGGUGCUCAUAGAAAAUACUUUUGGGCGUCUGAAAAACCGAUGGAGAUGUGUGUGCAAGGAUCGUGUACCUAUUGCACUAUAUGCCGGACAAAUGUGCAAAAAUUAUCACGGCUUGCAGUGUUUUGCACAACAUUUCAAUUGAGUUUAAAGUGCCUUGUCCCGAAAAUCAAAUGAAUGGUUAAUAUUAUUUAAUAAUUGUAUAAUAUUUAGCAAGUAUCAGAAAACUCAGGUAACUCAUUAACAAAUAUUUUUCCAUUCUUUACAGUAAUUGAAGAAUUUCAUCGGAUUGAGAUACCGCGGCAAGAAGACCGAACCCUACUAACACUAGGACGUUUAGUCCGAGAUCGUUUGGCCAACGCUAUUCAUGGAGCAGCUGUGUGAGGCUUCGUUAAUAUACUAUUUUAUAAAAUC